UCCGGUUUGACACCGGCAGUCUCCCUAGAGUGCCCGGCUUUACCCGCUGGUAACUAGGGACGAGGGUUGCGCUCGUUGCGGGACUUAACCCAACACCUCACGGCACGAGCCGACGACAGCCAUGCAGCACCUGUGCUAGCUCCCCGAAGGGUCCUUCACGUUUCUGAUCCGUACCACUAGCAUGUCAAGCCCUGGUAAGGUUCUUCGCGUUGCAUCGAAUUAAACCACACGCUCCGCCGCUUGUGCGGGCCCCCGUCAAUUCCUUUGAGUUUCAGCCUUGCGGCCGUACUCCCCAGGCGGGGCACUUAACGCGUUAGCCGCGGCACCGAAGGGGUCGUUCCCCCCGGCACCUAGUGCCCAUCGUUUACGGCGUGGACUAC
Molecule: unclassified non-coding RNA, 380 nt
Filed under: uncultured bacterium
Lineage: Bacteria
Description: contains 16S-23S intergenic spacer region
Source: RNAcentral